This 251-nucleotide ribosomal RNA is filed under the name uncultured bacterium. RNAcentral's name for it is "partial 16S ribosomal RNA". It matches the Rfam family "Bacterial small subunit ribosomal RNA", at positions 525 to 775 of the family's 1533-position model. RNAcentral also lists the same sequence under 1 other name. The record is from RNAcentral.
ACGUAGGUGGCAAGCGUUGUCCGGAUUUAUUGGGCGUAAAGCGAGCGCAGGCGGUUUUUUAAGUCUGAUGUGAAAGCCUUCGGCUCAACCGAAGAAGUGCAUCGGAAACUGGGAAACUUGAGUGCAGAAGAGGACAGUGGAACUCCAUGUGUAGCGGUGAAAUGCGUAGAUAUAUGGAAGAACACCAGUGGCGAAGGCGGCUGUCUGGUCUGUAACUGACGCUGAGGCUCGAAAGUAUGGGUAGCAAACAG